UCUCUCUCUCUCUCUCUAUACCUCCAUCAGAGCCCAUCCUGUGUGGGAUACUCAACCAUAAUCCCUAUUCGUUUCUUCUUCCUCCCUCGCUCUGAUUCAGUCAAUACUCUUUCAUUCUCUCUCUCCAAUUCGUUUCUUCUUUCUCUUUUCCUUCCUCCCCCUUUCUGCCAUCUCAAUCUUCAUCAACAGUGGCAGGCCAAACUCCAUAUUCCACCACAAUCGACACAACCUUUUCAGCCCAUAGGAGAGAUUUCGAAAGGAGCCAUUGCAAAAUGGGAGAUUUCAUUGGACCACCACCGGCUCUAGAGAGAUCGAUACUCCGUCGUUGUCAAUAUUCAAAGAGAUCCCAAACAGGCACAUUAUGAGCUUGAAUGCCAAUUCUGAUAGAGUUCUCUUCCAUUAUAAUGGACAUGGUGUACCAAAAUCAACUGUUAAUGGUGAAAUUUGGGUAUUCAAUAAGAUACAUACAAAGAAGAUUUGAGAUCAAUUGGUGGAGCAAACUUGCUCUGGUUGAGUCAUCCUCCAUGUUUGUUGGUGGAAUUGAGCGUAAAGAAUACCCUAAAAGCUCCAUGGUCAUCUUCUCCAUUUAUUCAUUAGAUCCAAAGCUCACAGACCUGUGGGACUAAAGGAGGGGUGGAUUCUACAAAGAAAAGCAUUAGCUAAUGCAUUAGCAGCAGCGCCAUCCAUGUGGACUCUUGGAAAUGCAGGCAUGGGAGCAUUGCAGGUUUUUAAUUUCUUGAAACAAAUGACCUUUUGCAGCCUUCAUAUCUGUCUUCUCUUCUUCUUAACGUCAUAUUGUUAAGUUAAUUUAUUUAUAUAAAAAUAAUAAUAAU
Camellia sinensis is the source of this 833-nucleotide non-coding RNA. NCBI's taxonomy places the organism in Eukaryota, Viridiplantae, Streptophyta, Magnoliopsida, Ericales, Theaceae. The record is from RefSeq and is a predicted model, not a curated record.